Molecule: ribosomal RNA, 424 nt
Filed under: uncultured bacterium
Lineage: Bacteria
Description: bacterial SSU rRNA
Rfam family: Bacterial small subunit ribosomal RNA
Source: RNAcentral
AAGACCUUGCACUUUUGGAGCGGCCGAUGUCUGAUUAGCUAGUUGGUGGGGUAAUGGCCUACCAAAGCUUCGAUCAGUAGCUGGUCUGAGAGGACGGCCAGCCACACUGGGACUGAGACACGGCCCAGACUCCUACGGGAGGCAGCAGUGGGGAAUUUUGGACAAUGGGCGCAAGCCUGAUCCAGCCAUGCCGCGUGAGUGAAGAAGGCCUUCGGGUUGUAAAGCUCUUUCAGCCGGGAAGAAAAGGUUGCGACUAGUAAUCGCAAUUCAUGACGGUACCGAAAGAAGAAGCACCGGCUAACUACGUGCCAGCAGCCGCGGUAAUACGUAGGGUGCGAGCGUUAAUCGGAAUUACUGGGCGUAAAGGGUGCGCAGGCGGUUUUGUAAGUCAGAUGUGAAAUCCCCGGGCUUAACCUGGGAAACU